AUGUUAACUCCUGUGUGUCCCUUUUCAUGGAUUCUUUAUAUGAACGGGACGAGGCUCUUCCUGAAGGAUCUGUGUGUGUUGUUCAAAACACAAUCAGAAAGCCGAGGUCUCUCUGCUGAGUCCCAGGCUGGCAUCCUUAACCUCCGGGGCCCUGAAGAAGGAAGGAGCGCUGAGAGGUGCAGUUAA
This 186-nucleotide long non-coding RNA is filed under the name Ovis aries (sheep). RNAcentral describes it as "lncRNA (ENSOARG00000026324.1)". The record is from RNAcentral. Lineage: Eukaryota; Metazoa; Chordata; Mammalia; Artiodactyla; Bovidae.